RNAcentral lists this ribosomal RNA (468 nucleotides) under uncultured bacterium. RNAcentral's name for it is "partial 16S ribosomal RNA". It matches the Rfam family "Bacterial small subunit ribosomal RNA", at positions 28 to 507 of the family's 1533-position model. The record is from RNAcentral.
GACGAACGCUGGCGGCGUGCUUAACACAUGCAAGUCGAACGGAAAGGCCCUGCUUUUGUGGGGUGCUCGAGUGGCGAACGGGUGAGUAACACGUGAGUAACCUGCCCUUGACUUUGGGAUAACUUCAGGAAACUGGGGCUAAUACCGGAUAGGAGCUCCUGCUGCAUGGUGGGGGUUGGAAAGUUUCGGCGGUUGGGGAUGGACUCGCGGCUUAUCAGCUUGUUGGUGGGGUAGUGGCUUACCAAGGCUUUGACGGGUAGCCGGCCUGGGAGGGUGACCGGCCACCUUGGGACUGAGGUACGGCCCAGGCCCCUACGGGGGGCAACGGGGGGGAAUAUUGCACAAUGGGGGGGAGCCUGAUGCCGAAACCCCCGGGUCGGGAAGACGGCCUUCUGGGUUGAAACCGCUUUCGCCUGGUACCGAGCGUGAGUGACGGUAAUGGGUAAAGAAGCACCGGCUAACUUCGUG